AGGGCGCAUGGUGAAUGCCUUGGCAUCAGGAGCCGAUGAAGGACGUGAUAAGCUGCGAUAAGCUUCGGGUAGGCGCACAUAGCCAGUGAUCCGGAGAUUUCCGAAUGUGGGAACACACAUGGGAAACCCCAUGUAUCGUAUAGUGAAUACAUAGCUAUACGAGGGUAAACCUAGGGAACUGAAACAUCUAAGUACCUAGAGGAAGAGAAAGAAAAAUCGAUUUCCUUAGUAGCGGCGAGCGAAAGGGAAAGAGCCCAAACCAAAGAUUUAUCUUUGGGGUUGCGGACAGAGCAUUAACGAGAAGUCGUAACUAACCGAACAUAACUGGAAAGUUAGACCGUAGGAGGUAAUAGUCCUGUAGGUGAAAGUUAAGAUAAUCAAGCUCUGAUCCAGAGUACCACGAGACACGUGAAACCUUGUGGGAAGCAGGGAGGACCACCUCCCAAGGCUAAAUACUACCUGAUGACCGAUAGUGAAGCAGUACCGUGAGGGAAAGGUGAAAAGAACCCCGGGAGGGGAGUGAAAUAGAACCUGAAACCGUGUGCCUACAACCGGUCAAAGCCCCAUAUGAGGGUGAUGACGUGCUUUUUGUAGAACGAGCCAACGAGUUACGGUAUGUAGCAAGGUUAAGUACUUAAGGUACGGAGCCGAAGGGAAACCGAGUCUUAAUAGGGCGACUAGUUGCAUGCCGUAGACCCGAAACCGGGUGACCUAUCCAUGGCCAGGUUGAAGCGAGGGUAAAACUUCGUGGAGGACCGAACCACGUUGCUGUUGAAAAAGCAUGGGAUGAGCUGUGGAUAGCGGAGAAAUUCCAAUCGAACUCGGAGAUAGCUGGUUCUCCCCGAAAUAGCUUUAGGGCUAGCGUCGGAUAUGUGUAGUGGAGGUAGAGCACUGAAUGGGCUAGGGGGCAUAUCGCUUACCGAACCUUAUCAAACUCCGAAUGCCAUAUACAUUAAGUCCGGCAGUCAGACUACGAAUGAUAAGAUCCGUGGUCAAAAGGGAAACAGCCCAGAUCGUCAGCUAAGGUCCCAAAGUGUAAGUUAAGUGGAAAAGGAUGUGGGAUUUCUAAGACAACUAGGAUGUUGGCUUAGAAGCAGCCACUCAUUUAAAGAGUGCGUAAUAGCUCACUAGUCGAGAGAUCCUGCGCCGAAAAUGUCCGGGGCUCAAACUUACCACCGAAGCUACGGGCUUGCGAAAGCAAGCGGUAGGGGAGCGUCGUAAUCGGGCUGAAGUCGUACCGUAAGGAGCGGUGGACUGAUUACGAGUGAGAAUGUUGGCAUUAGUAGCGAGAUGUAGGUGAGAAUCCUACAGGCCGAAUAUCUAAGGUUUCCUCAGGAAGGCUCGUCCGCUGAGGGUUAGUCGGGACCUAAGCCGAGGCCGAAAGGCGUAGGCGAUGGACAAUCGGUUGAUAUUCCGAUACCACUACCAUCGUUAAUAUCGAGGGUGUGACGGAGAAGGAUAGUGUGUGCUAGCGAUUGGAAAUGCUAGUCUAAGCGUUUAGGGAGUUACGGUAGGCAAAUCCGCUGUAACAAUUCUGAGGCGUGAUGGGGAAGGCCAUAUAGGCCGAAGUACAUGAUUCCAUGCUUCCAAGAAAAGCAUCUAGAGAGAGAAGUAGUGCCCGUACCGCAAACCGACACAGGUAGAUGAGGAGAGAAUCCUAAGGCCGGCGGAAGAAUUGCAGUUAAGGAACUAGGCAAAUUGACCCCGUAAGUUCGCGAGAAGGGGUGCCUGCGAGAGCAGGCCGCAGAGAAUAGGCCCAAGCAACUGUUUAGCAAAAACACAGGUCUCUGCUAAAGCGAAAGCUGAUGUAUAGGGGCUGACGCCUGCCCGGUGCUGGAAGGUUAAGGGGAACACUUAGCGCAAGCGAAGGUGUGAACUUAAGCCCCAGUAAACGGCGGCCGUAACUAUAACGGUCCUAAGGUAGCGAAAUUCCUUGUCAGGUAAGUUCUGACCCGCACGAAUGGCGUAAUGACUUGGGCACUGUCUCAACUGCAAAUCCGGCGAAGUUGUAGUGCGAGUGAAGAUGCUCGCUACCCGCGAUUGGACGGAAAGACCCCGUAGAGCUUUACUGCAGCUUAGCAUUGAAUUCCGGUAUUGUCUGUACAGGAUAGGUGGGAGACUGGGAAACUAGGGCGUCAGCCUUAGUGGAGUCAACCUUGGGAUACCACCCUGACAGUACUGGGGUUCUAACAGGACGCCAUGAAACUGGUGACUGGACAUUGUUAGGUGGGCAGUUUGACUGGGGCGGUCGCCUCCUAAAAAGUAACGGAGGCGUUCAAAGGUUCGCUCAGCUUGAACGGAAAUCAAGCAAAAG
This 2314-nucleotide ribosomal RNA is filed under the name human gut metagenome. Its description in RNAcentral is "bacterial LSU rRNA". It matches the Rfam family "Bacterial large subunit ribosomal RNA", at positions 14 to 2347 of the family's 2925-position model. The record is from RNAcentral.